RNAcentral lists this long non-coding RNA (283 nucleotides) under Mytilus galloprovincialis (Mediterranean mussel). Lineage: Eukaryota; Metazoa; Mollusca; Bivalvia; Mytilida; Mytilidae. The record is from RNAcentral.
UGGUAAGAUCGUGUUGCAAUCGGAUAACUCGUGGAAUGGUCGUAGUGAGAACGUGAUGAGCGUAGAAAGAUCUUGACAAGCGUAGUGAGGUCGCAGAAUAAGCGCGGUGAGAACGUGGUAUAAUCGUAGUGGGAUCGUUGUAGAAGCGUAAUGAGAACGUAGCAGGAUCGUGAAAGCAACGAAAAUUUACAUUUUCAUGCCGCUCAUACCGCGACCUCACCACGAUCUAAAUUUAUUUUAGAUCGCGGUGAGCGUGGUGCGAUCGUGGUCUAGUGGGACUGGG